Molecule: ribosomal RNA, 425 nt
Filed under: uncultured bacterium
Lineage: Bacteria
Description: partial 16S ribosomal RNA
Rfam family: Bacterial small subunit ribosomal RNA
Source: RNAcentral
GUGGGGAAUAUUGGACAAUGGGCGCAAGCCUGAUCCAGCCAUGCCGCGUGAGUGAUGAAGGCCUUAGGGUUGUAAAGCUCUUUCGUCAGGGAAGAUAAUGACGGUACCUGAAGAAGAAGCCCCGGCUAACUUCGUGCCAGCAGCCGCGGUAAUACGAAGGGGGCUAGCGUUGCUCGGAAUCACUGGGCGUAAAGCGCACGUAGGCGGCUUUCUAAGUCAGGGGUGAAAUCCUGGAGCUCAACUCCAGAACUGCCUUUGCUACUGGAGAGCUUGAGUUCGGGAGAGGUGAGUGGAACUGCGAGUGUAGAGGUGAAAUUCGUAGAUAUUCGGAAGAACACCAGUGGCGAAGGCGACUCACUGGCCCAAUACUGACGCUGAGGCGCGAAAGCGUGGGGAGCAAACAGGAUUAGAUACCCCUGUAGUCC